GACGAACGCUGGCGGCGUGCUUAACACAUGCAAGUCGAACGAAGAGCGAUGGAAGCUUGCUUCUAUCAAUCUUAGUGGCGAACGGGUGAGUAACGCGUAAUCAACCUGCCCUUCAGAGGGGGACAACAGUUGGAAACGACUGCUAAUACCGCAUACGAUCUAAUCUCGGCAUCGAGGAUAGAUGAAAGGUGGCCUCUACAUGUAAGCUAUCACUGAAGGAGGGGAUUGCGUCUGAUUAGCUAGUUGGAGGGGUAACGGCCCACCAAGGCGAUGAUCGGUAGCCGGUCUGAGAGGAUGAACGGCCACAUUGGGACUGAGACACGGCCCAGACUCCUACGGGAGGCAGCAGUGGGGAAUCUUCCGCAAGAGACGAAAGUCUGACGGAGCAACGCCGCGUGAGUGAUGACGGCCUUCGGGUUGUAAAGCUCUGUUAAUCGGGACGAAAGGCCUUCUUGCGAAUAGGGAGAAGGAUUGACGGUACCGGAAUAGAAAGCCACGGCUAACUACGUG
This 510-nucleotide ribosomal RNA is filed under the name uncultured bacterium. Its description in RNAcentral is "partial 16S ribosomal RNA". It matches the Rfam family "Bacterial small subunit ribosomal RNA", at positions 28 to 507 of the family's 1533-position model. The record is from RNAcentral.